AAAUGGAAGAAGCAAGAGCAACGAUGAGAUGAAGAGGCGAAUCGAUUCGAAAUAGGGAGAGGAAGAAAUAUAUAAGACGUCGACGUCUACGACGACGUCGCGACGUGACGAUGUGGAAUACGGUGAGAGAUGGAAGAGAAAACGUGAGAGAGAGAGAGAGAGAUGAAUAUGUGUGUGAGUGGAGGGGACUCGUGAGGAGAG
Molecule: non-coding RNA, 201 nt
Organism: Caenorhabditis elegans
Lineage: Eukaryota; Metazoa; Nematoda; Chromadorea; Rhabditida; Rhabditidae
Source: Ensembl